This 1950-nucleotide ribosomal RNA is filed under the name Salpingoeca calixa. Its description in RNAcentral is "eukaryotic LSU rRNA". It matches the Rfam family "Eukaryotic large subunit ribosomal RNA", at positions 86 to 1870 of the family's 3401-position model. The record is from RNAcentral. Lineage: Eukaryota; Choanoflagellata; Craspedida; Salpingoecidae.
ACGGCGAGUGAGCGGGAAGAGCUCAAAUUUGAAAUCUCCAAGGUUCCCUUGGCGAAUUGUAGUUUAGAAGUGUGAUCUGUAGGAGGUGUUGGCCUAAGUUUCCUUGGAACAGGGCAUCGCAGAGGGUGACAAUCCCGUCUGGCUGCGCACCGAAUACUGUAUGUGGCACUUUCGAAGAGUCGGGUUGUUUGGGAAUGCAGCCCAAAAGGGGUGGUAAAUUUCAUCUAAGGCUAAAUAUUGGCACGAGACCGAUAGCGAACAAGUACCGUGAGGGAAAGAUGAAAAGCACUUUGAAAAGAGGGUUAAACAGUACGUGAAACCGUUAAAAGGGAAACGAUUGAAGCUAGCAGUGUUUGCGCGCCUGGUCAGUUUGUGGGAGACUGCAGGCGUAUUCGGGCGCGCAACGGGUCAGCAUGGGUUUGGGCUGUGUGAGACGGCCUUGGGAGCGCGCCUCUGGCGGGUCCCUUGGCUUUAGCGCGGCGCGGACUGAGGAGAGCGGGGUGUUCUUGUGCUGAGUGUGCUCUGCUUCCGGCCGGUGCCGUACAAUGCCUGGCAGUGUGCGGUGCGGCGUCCGGGGNCACUUGGUGCACGAGGCAUCUACACCCGUUAGAUGCUGACGAAAUGGCUUUAACCGACCCGUCUUGAAACACGCACCAAGGAGUCUAACAUGUGCGCGAGUCUUUGGGUGUUAAACCCACGGGCGCAAUGAAAGUGAAAGGGUGAGAGCCGGGCCGAAAGGCNCGGUGCAUCAUCGACCGAUCUUGAUCGGCCCCUCGUGUCGCUUGCGGCUGCGGGGUGUGCUUCUUGACAGAUUUGAGUAAGAGCGUAUUUGUUGGGACCCGAAAGAUGGUGAACUAUGCCCUGAAUAGGGUGAAGCCAGAGGAAACUCUGGUGGAGGCUCGUAGCGGUUCUGACGUGCAAAUCGAUCGUCAAAUUUGGGUAUAGGGGCGAAAGACUAAUCGAACCAUCUAGUAGCUGGUUCCCACCGAAGUUUNCCUCAGAAUAGCAGGAGCUCGAGUACAGUUUUAUCAGGUAAAGCGAAUGAUUAGAGGCCUUGGGGAUGCAAUAUCCUCAACCUAUUCUCAAACUUUAAAUAGGUAAGAAGCCCGGCUUACUUGAGUGAAGUCGGGCACUGAAUGUGAGUUCCUAGUGGGCCAUUUUUGGUAAGCAGAACUGGCGAUGCGGGAUGAACCGAACGUAGAGUUAAGGUGCCCAAAUCAACGCUCAUCAGACACCACAAAAGGUGUUGGUUGAUCCAGACAGCAGGACGGUGGCCAUGGAAGUCGGAAUCCGCUAAGGAGUGUGUAACAACUCACCUGCCGAAUCAACUAGCCCUGAAAAUGGAUGGCGCUUAAGCGUUGUACCUAUACUCUACCGCUGGCGCAAAUGCGAGGCACCAGCGAGUAGGUGGGCGUGGGGGUUGUGACGAAGCCUUUGGCGUGAGCCUGGGUUGAACGGCCUCUAGUGCAGAUCUUGGUGACAGUAGCAAAUAUUCAAAUGAGAGCUUUGAAGACUGAAGUGGAGAAAGGUUCCAUGUGAACAGCAGUUGGACAUGGGUUAGUCGGUCCUAAGAGAUAGGGGAACUCCGUUUUAACGUGCGACAUUGAUGGCGCGCCCUCGGGCGCGUACCAUGGUGCGCCGCCUAUCGAAAGGGAACCAGGUUAAUAUUCCUGGACCAGGACGCAGAUACAUGUGCGUGGCCCUCGGGCCAUGUACGCACUGCGGCAACGCAACCAAACUCGGAGACGCCGGCAGGAGCCCUGGAAAGAGUUUUCUUUUCUUUUUAACAAGCUACCGCCUUGAAAUCAGAUUGCCUGGAGCUAAGGCUUGAUGCUUGGUAAAGCACCGCAACUUACGUGGUGUCCGGUGCGCUCCUGACGGCCCGUGAAAAUCCGAGGGCGAGAGUGAUUCUUGCGCCUGGCCGUACUCAUAACCGCAGCAGGUCUCCAA